UACGAAGGGUGCAAGCGUUGCUCGGAAUCAUUGGGCGUAAAGCGCACGUAGGCGGCUUGCCAAGUCGGACGUGAAAUCCCUCGGCUCAACUGAGGAACUGCCUUUGAAACUGUUCGGCUUGAGGCCGGGAGGGGGUAGCGGAAUUCCCAGUGUAGCGGUGAAAUGCGUAGAUAUUGGGAGGAACACCAGUGGCGAAGGCGGCUACCUGGACCGGUUCUGACACUGAGGCGCGAAAGCGUGGGUAGCAAACAGG
Molecule: ribosomal RNA, 253 nt
Filed under: uncultured bacterium
Lineage: Bacteria
Description: partial 16S ribosomal RNA
Rfam family: Bacterial small subunit ribosomal RNA
Source: RNAcentral